CCUACGGGAGGCAGCAGUGGGGAAUAUUGGACAAUGGGGGGAACCCUGAUCCAGCCAUGCCGCGUGUGUGAAGAAGGCCCUCGGGUUGUAAAGCACUUUCAGUGAGGAAGAACGCCUGGUGGUUAAUACCCAUCAGGAAAGACAUCACUCACAGAAGAAGCACCGGCUAACUCCGUGCCAGCAGCCGCGGUAAUACGGAGGGUGCGAGCGUUAAUCGGAAUUACUGGGCGUAAAGCGCGCGUAGGUGGCUUGAUAAGCCGGUUGUGAAAGCCCCGGGCUCAACCUGGGAACGGCAUCCGGAACUGUCAAGCUAGAGUGCAGGAGAGGUAGGUAGAAUUCCCGGUGUAGCGGUGAAAUGCGUAGAGAUCGGGAGGAAUACCAGUGGCGAAGGCGGCCUUCUGGACUGACACUGACACUGAGGUGCGAAAGCGUGGGUAGCGAACAGGAUUAGAUACCCGAGUAGUC
This 465-nucleotide ribosomal RNA is filed under the name Vreelandella stevensii. Its description in RNAcentral is "partial 16S ribosomal RNA". It matches the Rfam family "Bacterial small subunit ribosomal RNA", at positions 338 to 795 of the family's 1533-position model. Lineage: Bacteria; Pseudomonadati; Pseudomonadota; Gammaproteobacteria; Oceanospirillales; Halomonadaceae. The record is from RNAcentral.